UACGGGGGGGGCAAGCGUUGUUCGGAAUUACUGGGCGUAAAGGGCUCGUAGGCGGCCAACUAAGUCAGACGCGAAAUCCCUCGGCUUAACCGGGGAACUGCGUCUGAUACUGGAUGGCUUGAGUUCGGGAGAGGGAUGCGGAAUUCCAGGUGUAGCGGUGAAAUGCGUAGAUAUCUGGAGGAACACCGGUGGCGAAGGCGGCAUCCUGGACCGAUACUGACGCUGAGGAGCGAAAGCCAGGGGAGCAAACGGG
This 253-nucleotide ribosomal RNA is filed under the name uncultured bacterium. RNAcentral's name for it is "partial 16S ribosomal RNA". It matches the Rfam family "Bacterial small subunit ribosomal RNA", at positions 524 to 776 of the family's 1533-position model. The record is from RNAcentral.